GGUAUCGCCGUUAGUCAUGUGCAAAUAUGGAUAGCUGUUUUAGCCGUCUUUAUUGACUGGUUCAUAAGAGUUAUCAGAUAUCACUUUGAUUAAAUUAGAGUGCUUAAAGCAAGUGUGUUACUUGGAUAUAAAUGCAUGGAAUGAUGGAAUAUGUUGUUAUUCUAUUUGUUGGUUUUUGAAUGAUAAAAUGAUUGAAAGGAACUGUUGGGGGCAUUCGUAUUGUUGUGAGAGAGGUGAAAUUCUUAGACCACAGCAAGACGAACUACUGCGAAAGCAUUUGCCAAGAAUGUUUUCAUUGAUCAAGAACGAAAGUUAGAGGUUCGAAGGCGAUCAGAUACCGCCCUAGUUCUAACCAUAAACUAUGCCAACUAGCAAUUUGCUUUGUAUUUUUUAUGACUAAGUGAGAGGCCACGGGAAACCUAAGUAGGGUUAUGGGGGAAGUAUGGUUGCAAAGCUGAAACUUAAAGGAAUUGACGGAAGGGCACCACCAGGAGUGGAGCCUGCGGCUUAAUUUGACUCAACACGGGAAAACUUACCUGGUCCUGACACUAGAAGGAUUGACAGAUUGAUAGCUCUUUCUUGAUUUGGUGGAUGGUGGUGCAUGGCCGCUCUUAGUUGGUGGAGUGAUUUGUCUGGUUAAUUCCGAUAACGAACGAGACUCUAGCCUAUUAAAUAAUACACGGAAUUUUAUCUUCCGCGGUAUUUCUUAGUGGGAUCAAGCG
This 722-nucleotide ribosomal RNA is filed under the name uncultured eukaryote. Its description in RNAcentral is "SSU rRNA". It matches the Rfam family "Eukaryotic small subunit ribosomal RNA", at positions 672 to 1426 of the family's 1831-position model. The record is from RNAcentral.